GACGUAGGGCGCGAGCGUUGUCCGGAUUUAUUGGGCGUAAAGAGCUCGUAGGCGGCUUGUCGCGUCGUCUGUGAAAUCCCGCGGCUCAACUGCGGGUCUGCAGUCGAUACGGGCAGGCUAGAGUUCGGUAGGGGAGACUGGAAUUCCUGGUGUAGCGGUGAAAUGCGCAGAGAUCGGGAGGAACACCCGUAGCGAAGGCGGCACUCUGGGCCGGUACUGACGCUGAGGAGCGAAAGCGUGGGGAGCAAACAGG
This 253-nucleotide ribosomal RNA is filed under the name uncultured bacterium. Its description in RNAcentral is "partial 16S ribosomal RNA". It matches the Rfam family "Bacterial small subunit ribosomal RNA", at positions 524 to 776 of the family's 1533-position model. The record is from RNAcentral.